GCCGCGGUAGCUCAAUUGGCAGAGCAUCGCACGUGAAAUGCGAAGAUUAUGGGUUCGGUUCCCACCUGCGGCA
Molecule: transfer RNA, 73 nt
Filed under: Dermacentor andersoni
Lineage: Eukaryota; Metazoa; Arthropoda; Arachnida; Ixodida; Ixodidae
Description: transfer RNA serine (anticodon UGA)
Rfam family: tRNA
About the family: Transfer RNA (tRNA) molecules are approximately 80 nucleotides in length. Their secondary structure includes four short double-helical elements and three loops (D, anti-codon, and T loops). Further hydrogen bonds mediate the characteristic L-shaped molecular structure. tRNAs have two regions of fundamental functional importance: the anti-codon, which is responsible for specific mRNA codon recognition, and the 3' end, to which the tRNAs corresponding amino acid is attached (by aminoacyl-tRNA synthetases). tRNAs cope with the degeneracy of the genetic code in two manners: having more than one tRNA (with a specific anti-codon) for a particular amino acid; and 'wobble' base-pairing, i.e. permitting non-standard base-pairing at the 3rd anti-codon position.
Source: RNAcentral